UAACACAUGCAAGUCGAGCGCGAAAGCGGCUUCGGUCGUUAGUAGAGCGGCGGACGGGUGAGGAACACGUGGGUAACCUACCCUCGGGUGGGGAAUAACCCAGGGAAACCUGGGCUAAUUCCGCAUAACAUCUUUAGCUCGCAAGAGUUUUGGAUCAAAGCUGGGGACCCUUCGGGGCCUGGCGCCUGAGGAGGGGCCCGCGGCCGAUUAGCUUGUUGGUGAGGUAACGGCUCACCAAGGCUUCGAUCGGUAGCCGGCCUAAGAGGGCGGACGGCCACACUGGGACUGAGACACGGCCCAGACUCCUACGGGAGGCAGCAGUGGGGAAUUUUUGUCAAUGGGGGAAACCCUGAACAAGCAACGCCGCGUGGAGGACGAAGACCUUCGGGUCGUAAACUCCUGUCGGAGGGGACGAAAGCGGUUACGGUUAAUACCCGUAGUCGUUGACGGUACCCUAUGAGGAAGCCCCGGCUAACUCCGUGCCAGCAGCCGCGGUAAUACGGGGGGGGCAAGCGUUGUUCGGAAUUACUGGGCGUAAAGGGCGCGUAGGCGGUCCCGCAAGUCCUUCGUGAAAUCCCACAGCUCAACUGUGGAACUGCGAGGGAAACUGCAGGACUUGAGUCCGGAGAAGGAGAGU
Molecule: ribosomal RNA, 637 nt
Filed under: uncultured bacterium
Lineage: Bacteria
Description: bacterial SSU rRNA
Rfam family: Bacterial small subunit ribosomal RNA
Source: RNAcentral